CUAGUUGACCUUUGGAGGUCAGUUGGACUAAGUGUUAUAUUGACAUUGGUAGCUCGAGGAGCUAGUGGAGCAGCAGUUCGGAGUCAGAGGUCAAGUAGCAGUCAAAAGGAUUAGCAGCAUCAGUUCAGCAGUCUCAGGUGAGUUUCCUUCCAGUAGGAACGGGUCUAAGGCCACAAUGCCGGCCCGUUUAGCUAGUAGUAGUUUCCGGAUUUUGAUCUGAUGCAGUAUUUAGUAUGUUUGAUGCCUUCGUGGCUCAGACAGGAAUUAUGUGUUAUGUGUUCCGGGCCACGGCCCGAUGUAGUAUGCAGUAUAUGUGUGUUCAUGCUAGUUGAUAUGUUUAUGUUAUGUUCUGUUCAGUUAGUUCCGGACUUCGGUCCGAUGCAGGGGGCAAGGCCCCAGUUAGUCCGGACUUCGGUCCGAUGCAGGGGACAAGGUCCCAGUUAGUCCGGACUUCGGUCCGAUGCAGGGGACAAGGUCCCAGUUAGUCCGGACUUCGGUCCGAUGCAGGGGGCAAGGCCCCAGUUAGCCCGGACUUCGGUCCGAUGCAGUGGGCAAGGCCCAGUAUGUGCUUUAUAUGUUAUUGUGUGGUAUGUGGUAGAUUGGGGGAGCUCACUAAGCUUCGUGCUUACGGUUUUCAGUUUUGGUUUCAGGUACUCGGUUUUCAAAAGAGGAGCUCGGGAAGAUUGCAGAGCACACACCAUAGUCAGUUAGCCUGGGAAUGUUUGACUCUGAUAAUGAUAUUAUGUUUUGAAUUUAAUACUCAAAAGUUAUGUUUGAUUUAUGAUACGUUGUUUAUAAAUCUAUUUUUAGUAAUGUUUUAAAAGAAAUUUUUAGUCGUGAUUUUUGGGUCGUUACAAGUUGGUAUCAGAGCCUUGGUUUGAGGGAUUCGGGCGCACUCCUGAGUGUGUCUGAACUCAAACUAAGGAAGUGGUAUAUAGUUUUCAAAAGAAAAAUCGUAGUUACAAAAGAAUUUUGAGAAAAGAAAACAAUUUUUAGAAAAAGCAAAAAGAGUUUUGAAAAGAGAAAAGGGUGUGGUGCAUGCAAUCAGCCGAGCUCAAGUAAGUACUCCCAAUUUACCCAUACAAGUUAUAUUAUGAUUAUCAGUAUCGGUUUCAGUUUCAGUUUCAGUUCCAGCUUCAGUAGAACAGCAUGCUAGAAUAGGACUAAGGAUCUAGGAUGAUGCCUUAUGUGCCUGCUUUAUGUGUUCAGCUUUAUGAGAAUUGCAUGCUAGUAUUGAGUAGACAGCAGUAGGAUAGCCUGUUUAGGUUAUGCCUGGUAGCACGAGCUUAGCAUUGUAUGCUAGUGUAGUUUCUCGUUAUGAGAAUAGUUUUGCCUGAGUAUGUCUCCUUUAUCCGAAUGCUGCUUGCUUUGUGCUUUGUGGGACUCCGAGUGGUGGGAUUUAGCCAUUAGGUGAAUACGUCACAUCACAUGUGAGCAGGGUUGAAUAAUCUCAGAGUGCUGGAUUUGGCCCUAUUGCGCAGCUCUUGUUUGAGUCCAACCGUUGUAGGGACGAGUCUUUUACUUGAAGGAUUAUCUGAGCCUCGUCACAUGUGAUGGUAUUUAGGUGGUGGCUAAUUGGCAUUACAAGGAGGCCUUCAGCAGCUGAGGACUGUUUGGGUAGAGUCAGAGGUUCCCUAGGGCCAGCCUAGGAUGAGAGUAGCAGAGAUCAGUAGAAGAGUAAAGGGGACUUGGUGGAGAUGAGGUAACUCUUGAGGAAAGUACGGAUAGAUGUGGAAGGUAGUAUGGGCCCGUACUACUGAAAGAAGAGGAUCCGUACUCGAUUCAAGAGGGGCCAAGACAAAAACCAGGGAACUAGUAGAGUGUGUGAGAGAUUCCACAGCAGUAGUGUGUAAUUGAUCAGGAAUUGUUAUAUUUUCAGUAUGGUGACAUUGCGCGAGCUACCAGUUAGCAGUUCAGGCGUCGAGGAGGGAUCUGGCUCGGGCUUUGGAGCCGGGCAUCUUGAUGAUUAGAUGAGGGAUUUCAUUUCCGCAGAGAUCAUGCGCAACGUCAUUGAUCAGAGUCCAGUGAUUCUCGGUUCGGUUAGAGAGGCCAUUGUGGAGCUCAUAGACAGUCAUCUUGAGGCCUUUAAGGCCGAGAUAGUUUCAGGACAGAUUGGGGCUCGUCUAGAUCCCGAUUCUUAUGGAGUUCGGGGAUCCAUCAUGGAGGGAGAUCCCAUUUCUAGUUUUUGCCAUCAGGGGACAGGAUUGAGUGGGGCAUCCUGUCUCCAAGAGAGACCUCUGCAUGAUUGGAUAGUUGAGGAAGUUUCGCGAGCCAUUCGCGAGAAUCUGGCCGACAUGGUCGUGAGGAUCACUGAUAGAUUGAUCGAGAGGCUCCAGGAUCAGACAUCUGUUAUUCAGUCGGCGGGCAGGGAGUCGGAAAGGAAGAGGAAAACGGAUGAGACUCAGGUAGCCACAGGUUCGGGUAAGAGGCUCAAGGGUUCGGAAUUGAGGAUGAGGAACUAUCAGAGCCGCAGUCGAUGCGUGAAGUGUGGAAGGAUGCACAUGGGUGUGUGCAGGCGUAGAAGUGGUGGCGAUGCUGGAUGUUUCAAGUGCGGCCAGAUUGGUCAUUUUAGCAGAGACUGUGUUGUUACCAUCGCCCAGGGACUUGAUCCGUUAUGUUUCCAUUGCAGUCAGAGGGGCCACAAGAAGGCCUACUGUCCGAGUUUGUAUACAGUAGGGCAGAUGUCAGCUCCUGCCCCUGGGACUUCGAGAGCCACCAACGGACAUCACGGCCGGGCAAGGGCGCCUACGGCUCGGAGCCGAGUUUUCCGGUAGAUUUCAGCAGGGAUUCGAGCAGCACUGAGUGAUGGAGGUAUGUAUCUUUUGCUUUUCUGUCAUCCAUUAUUUGUGAUAUUAUUGUUAUGUUGCGGCAUUGUUAUCAAUAAGCUUAAAUGUUGAGGUAUUGUAUUACCUGCUUGUGGUUGAGUUUUAUGCCAACUGCAUACCUUGGAAUUAGAAUGGUGAAUUGGAGGUCGUCCCCUCUAGAUCAGGUUACUUCGGAUACAGUAACUGUAGCAUGUAUGUGUAAGAUGCAGUAGUGCCCUACUACUUGCGGAAGGUGUUAGUCGGGUAAUGAUCAGUUAUAUUUUCAGUAGUGAAAACCCAGAGUUUUUAGUGGAGUAGCUAGUGUUCAGUAAGGAAGUGGGUUGGGGAUGUGCACCCCAAACACAGAUUCUCGGGAUGUAGUCCCUAAAGCAAAUACAGUUAAGGAUUGAAGGGUGCUCAGUCAGAUAGCAAGAAGGGUGCGGAUCUGGUAAGAGUUAGUUGGAGCGCUGGCAAGGGUAAAUGUCGGCGGACAGCAUAUCGCCCUUUUAAUGGAAGGAAGGUUGGAAAUCCUUUCGACCAGUGAGCAGUAAGGAUCUAGCCGAAUCCAAGUGGAGGAGAACCCUCCGAGUAUAAAAGGAUAAGAGCCACGUAGACUCAGAAUGAGUGCGCGGCCUCUGAGAGGAAAUGAUAGUAGCACAGUGAUCGAUGGAUCGAGAAGUUCAGAAUUGGGAGUUCGAGGACCUUCCCAGCAGUUAGUUCAUGUAAUCGAGAUGGUUAGAAGCUGGUUGAGAAUCCAGGAUUGGAGGACCACCUGUACGGGCUCAAGUGAAUCGGAAUGAGGAUCCUGAGAACGGUUAGCAAGAGAUGUUUUCGUAUUAGUAGCCAGUGACAGAGUCAGCAUGCAGGAUUGUGUAGAUUCAGGAGUUGGGAGUUUGGAAACUUCCCAACAAUAGCUUCUUGUAUCCGGAUUAGUAGACGGUUGGUUUGGGAACCAAGCCGAAGAGUUCCUCGACGAAGCGCUAAGUAUAUUAAGGAUAUAAGAUGUCGAGGAUGAUGCAGUAUUCAAAGACUGAGGGCUGGUUUUGAGAAAUCAGGAUGAGGAAUCACUAGCGGGACUAGGGAUAGUCAGGAUGUCCUCGGGAUAGUAGUAGUAGUGUUGUAAGUCUGCGGGGGUAGCCGUAGCAUUCACUAGCAGUCAGAUAGUAGUAGUAGUGUUGUAAGUCUGCGGGGGUAGCCGUAGCAUUCACUAGCAGUCAGAUAGUAGUAGUAGUGUUGUAAGUCUGCGGGGGUAGCCGUAGCAUUCACUAGCAGUCAGAUAGUAGUAGUAGUGUUGUAAGUCUGCGGGGGUAGCCGUAGCAUUCACUAGCAGUCAGAUAGUAGUGGUGGUGUUGUAAGUCUGCGGGGGUAGCCGUAGCAUUCACUAGCAGCCAGAUAGUAUUAGAGAGUUGUAAGUCCGCGAGCGUAGCUGCAGCCUUUAUCAGGUUGAUAGGCAGCAUGAGCACGUUGUUGGACACAGGGGAAGCAGUAGUACCCACCAGUUCGGGUGCAGUAGUGAGGAUAUGGGAAUCCACGAGUUAGAUUCUGGAUUUCCCAAAUGGUUCAGUUAUGGUUAAGUCGGCGAUUUGUCAGUAGAUUGUCGCCUCAGUUAUGAGAUCAGAGUAGUAGUGGACCGUUGGGGUUCGGGUAUGUUAAGAGCUACCGUCUGUCUGGGAGCCAUCAUAUUGUUAGUCGUGGAAUUGAUGAUGUCAGGAUGUGACGUAAGGACCUGAUCGGUGGAUCGGGAGGUUGUUAAAGUUACAAUGUCAGGAUGACUGGUGGAAGCUAGUUCCAGAGGAAGAUUUCGUUUAGAAGUUGUGGGAAGCAGCCAUUCAGUCAGUUCAGUGUUUCAGUCAGUUCAGUGUGUUUCAUCCAGUUCAAUGUUUCGGGUAGUUUAGUGUUCCAAGCAGUUCAGUAAUGCAGGCAGCUCAGCAUUUUAGAUAGUUCCAAUACGAGUAGCAGAGUGGAUAGAACAAUUAUAAAUAGUCGAAGAAUCUUGCGGAGUCGCUGGGAGCGACUAGAAGAUUACGAUGGAGUGUAGUGACCGGUAGGAGUCCGGUAACUCAGAUAUUGACAUAAUAGUUGGACCAGGGAGGUCUCAGUGCAUCCGGUAGGCGGAUGAGGGGUAACAAAAUUCUCAGUCGGAGGAAGUAACGUUAAGAAAAUUAUGGAAAAGAGAAGGAUUCAGUAUGUACCAACAGUAGUGACCAGCACUGUAAGUGGCUGGAGUGAUGGACAAAAGGGGGUGUUAGAUUUCCCAGGCAGAGAGUUGGAGGCAGUUCGCAGGACAGUUGGUCAUAGCAAACUUCGAGGACGAAGUUUAGUUUAAGUGGGGGAGAGUUGUAACACCCCAAAGUUUGGAGAGCCAGGAAAAGAUAGAAAACCCCAAUUUUUAGGGGAGACUCGGCGAGUCCAUUGAAGGACUCAGCGAGUCCGAGCGGGAUCCGGGUUGAGGUAUAAGCGACCGACUCGGCGAGUCGGCCAAGGUGACUCGGCGAGUCUGGUCUGAGCAAGGAAAACCCUAAAUCCGGGACUUGGAGCUUAUUUAAACGUCUCAUUCUCUCCCCUAGGGUUCCUUUACUGCCUCUCUAGCACAUAUCACUAAACCCUAGCCGCCAUAAUCGUUUUGGAGCAAGAUCUACCCUUAGUGAAGCUUUUGGAGCUUGAGAGAGAAGUUAGUCUUUGUGGAGCAAGAAGGGGGCCUUGGAUCCAGAGUUGGUGGAACAUUUCUGAGCAUUUAAAGGUAAUAAAUCGUUACCUUCCCUCUUUUGUUUAAUAGAUCAACCUUGGCUAUGUGAUUUGGGGAUUUUAUGCCAUGCUUAAGAACUAUUUCGAGUUAGAAGCCUAGAUCUGAAGUUGCUACUUCAGAUCUGAGUGUAUCUUGGCCUAGAAAGUCAUAAAGCAUCUGUUCUUGGGUUGAUAGUGAAGCCUCUUUGUCUUAAACCCUAGUUUGGAUUGUUUUAAGCCUAGAUCUCUUGAUCUACACGUAAAGUUUGCCACUUUACGUGGGGGAUAGUCCUUAGAAGUAUGGAUCUAUGAGUUGGAAGCCCUAUUUGGCUCGAAAAGCCAAUGCAUGGAUUAAGGACUGACUAGACUCGGCGAGUCCUUCAAGUGGACUCGGCGAGUAUCUUGAAGAUGAGGAGCAACUCGACGAGUGGGAUGAACAGCUCGUCGAGUCGGAUGAAGUUAGGCAUGAAAUCGGCGAGUUGGAAGAACAACUCGACGAGUUGGUUGAUGAUUGCGUUGGGCUCGGGGAGUCUAUUCUUGGACUCGGCGAGUCAGGUCGCGAAACCCCCAAACCCUUCGAGUUGAAACUCGAAUCAGUGAGUCGGAUGGAGACUCAGCGAGUUGGACAGGUCAGGACUCGGGAAUAGUUGCCCCGGCGAGUCAUGGACUGACUCGGCGAGUCGAGUCGCGAAUAGAAAGACCCUGAGCAUAUGAAAUCGACGAGUUAUUAGGUGGAUUCGGCGAGUAGGGUUGACCUGAAAGGUUGACUUUGACCAGGAGUUUGACCUUGACUAGAGUUGACCUAGUUGACCUUUGGAGGUCAGUUGGACUAACUGUUAUAUUGACAUUGGUAGCUCGAGGAGCUAGUAGAGCAGCAGUUCGGAGUCAGAGGUCGGGUAGCAAUCAUGAGGAUUAGCGACAUCAGUUCAACAGUCUUAGGUGAGUUUCCUUCCAGUAGGAACGGGUCUAAGGCCACAACGCCGACCCGUUUAGCUAGUAGCAGUUUCCGGAUUUUGAUCUGAUGCAAUAUUUAGUAUGUUUGAUGCCUUCGUGGCUCAGACAGGAAUUAUGUGUUAUGUGUUCCGGGCCACGACCCGAUGUAGUAUGCAGUAUAUGUGUGUUCAUGCUAGUUGAUAUGUUUAUGCUAUGUUCUGUUCAGUUAGCCCGGACUUCGGUCCGAUGCAGGGGACAAGGUCCCAGUUAGUCCGGACUUCGGUCCGAUGCAGGGGGCAAGGCCCCAGUUAGUCCGGACUUCGGUCCGAUGCAGGGGACAAGGUCCCAGUUAGUCCGGACUUCGGUCCGAUGUAGGGGGCAAGGCCCCAGUUAGUCCGGACUUCGGUCCGAUGCAGGGGACAAGCUCCCAGUUAGUCCGGACUUUGGUCCGAUGCAGUGGGCAAGGCCCAGU
RNAcentral lists this long non-coding RNA (6933 nucleotides) under Lactuca sativa (garden lettuce). RNAcentral describes it as "long non-coding RNA (LSAT_LNC004367)". The record is from RNAcentral. Lineage: Eukaryota; Viridiplantae; Streptophyta; Magnoliopsida; Asterales; Asteraceae.